RNAcentral lists this ribosomal RNA (253 nucleotides) under uncultured bacterium. RNAcentral's name for it is "partial 16S ribosomal RNA". It matches the Rfam family "Bacterial small subunit ribosomal RNA", at positions 524 to 776 of the family's 1533-position model. The record is from RNAcentral.
UACGAAGGGGGCUAGCGUUACUCGGAAUUACUAGGCGUAAAGGGCAGGUAGGUGGUCUGACAAGUCUGUUGUGAAAGCUCCCGGCUUAACUGGGAGAGGCCAACAGAUACUGUCAGGCUUGAGUAUAGGAGAGGGUACUGGAAUUCCCGAUGUAGCGGUGAAAUGCGUAGAUAUCGGGAGGAACACCUGUGGCGAAGGUGGCCCCCUGGUCGGAUACUGACGCUGAGACGCGAAAGCGUGGGGAGCAAACAGG